GUGCACAUGACCCAUGAAACCAAGACAAGAAAUGAAAACACAAACUCCUUUCUCUUGGGCCUUUAAAAUCGGGCUUCGCGAGGAGGGUAGUUUUCCAUCUCUUCUACGUCUGCUUUCCACCCUAUUAGCGUGAUACCCAUAUUCUCGGCGAUUGCUAGAGUAACAGUUUCCUAGUUAGACUAUACUUCCGCCCAUGUCCAAGAUGGCGGUUGAGCGGCCUUCCUAACCAUUACGGGGGUUUGGAGGCGUCUGAAGUUUGUGGUGGUGGUGGGUGCAACGGUUAGUAUACAAGCAAAGGCAGGAGCUCGGGUGGCCAUGGAAUCGGCCAAGGACUGGAAAGAAAUUCUCCGCCGGCGCUUAGCAACGCCCAGCACCCGCCCAAACAGAUGAAAUCUUUGACAUGGUGAAAGUGAAGGAUCCUUUCAAAAUCUCUCUUCAGGAUUUAAUCAGCAGUAAUCAAGGAGACACAGUCGCACCAUUCUAACUCAUCUGAAUGGCUUCUGGACUUAUGAGAACAGAGAAGCCCUUGUUGCAAAUGACAACUAAAACUCUGCAGACACUGAUGAUUCAUGAUCUCAGAAAGACUAAAUUGUAUUCAUUAAGAUGUCCUUGUUGGCUGCAUGCAAAACUCUGAGGCAGACUUCUUAUGUAAUGGUCUAAAUAAAACACUUCCAACUGCCUAUAGGA
Long non-coding RNA from Choloepus didactylus (southern two-toed sloth), 687 nucleotides. RefSeq lists it as uncharacterized. NCBI's taxonomy places the organism in Eukaryota, Metazoa, Chordata, Mammalia, Pilosa, Megalonychidae. The record is from RefSeq and is a predicted model, not a curated record. The transcript is spliced from 2 exons.